RNAcentral lists this long non-coding RNA (1986 nucleotides) under Nicotiana tabacum (common tobacco). Its description in RNAcentral is "long non-coding RNA (NTAB_LNC013099)". The record is from RNAcentral. Lineage: Eukaryota; Viridiplantae; Streptophyta; Magnoliopsida; Solanales; Solanaceae.
UUAUGAGUUGUUAUCUUUUGCCUUGAAUCCUUGGUAAUUGUCUCCUACCUUAAAAUUGUAUAGUAGUGUAAAUCUCCGAGCAGGUAUUUUCUCUUCACUAUUUCUUCAACUGGUUUUAUACUCUCUUUCACUAUCUUCUUAUCUGAUUUAUUAGAAGGUCUAAUCUUAAUUGUUCAUAGAUUAAUCAUGAAUAUAAUAAAACUUCUUGUAUUCGCUUUUCUCUUAUCCGUACAAAACUGACGGUUGUUUGUGUAUAGAUAAAGGGUAUUUUGAAUUUUUGGUUUAGAUAUAGGAAUAGAAAAAUUGAAUCUUUCUUUGUAUUAUUUUGGAUUAGCAAUCAUAUAUGGUAAUUUUGAGAUGUAAAAAGAUGAUAUGAUUUUGGGAAGAUUAUAUGAAGUUAGUUGAUUAUAGGUGUAUUCUUUAAAACUUGAAGUGACAUGUUUAUUAGAACUUUCAAGGGGUACAAAAAUGGAGCAGAUCAAAGUUUGUUAUGCGUUGACUGGGUAAUUAAGCAGUAUGGAGUUCGUAUGACUUGUCGUUUACCUUGACUACAAUGGCAGAGCCACCUUAGGUUAAGGGGUAUCAUUUAUCGUAAAAUUACACUGUAUAGCUAAGUUAAAUUUUUUAUUUUUAUGUAUAUAUACUGUACGUUGAAUCUCCGUACCUUGUUCGUGUGUUUACUUCUUUAUAUUUUGGUACCUUUAGUAAAUUCCUGGCUUCUCCACUGCUUCGUCGUUAUCUUAUUUGAAUACUUUAGUUGGCUAUAUUCGAUAUCCGGGCAUAACAUUUUCCUCUCUAAGUUUUUUUUAUUGUCGAUUUUGAUAUCAUGGGCGGAUGGUCCUCAUAGAGGCUUGACCAAAGGAAUGUUUUACUAUCACAAAGUGAUUUCUGAAUAUUUUUCAGACGUACUUCAAUUUGUAGAAGGAUUAGUAAUACAGGAGAAUUCUUUCCCUCAUUCGGUGGUAUGGUGAAUUGAAUUUUUGUCUAAAUAAACUCACCUUAGUAGUACGAUUAGAUAAAUGAAGCAUUAGUGCUUUACACAAGAGAUUCUUUUCUAGCAACGGUGUUUUGGGAAGUAAACAUCCAAUUUCUUGUAUACAUGUUCUGUGUUUUUCAUAUCAGAAUCUUUGGAGGUUAUUCUAGUGGGUAGGAUUCUGCAAUUGUAACCUUGAAGUGAUUUUAAUGCGUCUAGCAUAUAUAUCUAGCUAGAUGCUUGCUGAUCAAAGCCAUCGUUACAACCUUGAAAAGAAUGUGAAGAGAAUGGGGGGCCGUACAUUUCUCUCACAACAAUGUGUUGCAGGUAUGUUAAGGCUAUCAUUUCUUUCUUUUGGCAUGAUCUACACGAUACAAACGAAACGAGAAAAUGUAUAACUUCCAUAAAUGACUCUAUUCAUAGAAGUAUUAGAAGUGCCUAUUUUCUUGAAUUUCCAUAUUUCUUGUGAUUAUAUCAUUUGUUCAUGGGUCUCAGAAAAAUACGUAAGUUGAAAAAAGGUUUAUUUCAUGAUAUUAUUCAAAGGCAUUAUGAUCUUAUGACAAUCCGAAAGAUUUUAUUAAUGUACUUCUCAUGCAUUGCAUUCGUUUACAUGUGCAUUUACCCAUGACUCAAACGGCGUUAUAUAUGCAUAUAUAUGUAUAUAUAUGUAUAUGGGAUAUAGAAAAAGGUUACGAAGUUAUAUACGCACCACCACCUGAUCAGCUGGUAUAUGAUGAUGAUGUUGCCCACAAUGGCUGAAAUAUGACUCAAACGGCAUUAUAUACGCCUAUAUGUAUAUAUAUGUAUAUGGUGUGAGCACGUGAUUUUUGCCCUACAAGAACUACUUCCACAAAAAUUCAAAAUAAAAUAGUUGUGUGUUGCUUGUGAUUUAUUUGUAUUUGUUUGUGCAUGUUUAUUCUAUUUUUACUACUGAAAAAUACAAAAAUAUAUGUGUUGCAUUUGCAUUUACAAUUAACCACUGAUUUGUUUUACGAAAAUGAAAAUCAUAAAAA